GUACUAUUGAAGAGUCCCAACUAGGACGAAAUAGCUGUGCAGUAC
RNAcentral lists this non-coding RNA (45 nucleotides) under Trichobilharzia regenti. The record is from RNAcentral. Lineage: Eukaryota; Metazoa; Platyhelminthes; Trematoda; Strigeidida; Schistosomatidae.